AAGCUGAUGAUCCAGCAGUGUUGCGAGGAUGGCUUUAUGGGCAGCCCAGGGCCUGCAGGGAAAUGGCUGCCAUGAGGAAGAAAUCUAGGGAAGCUGAGUGCUGCUGGAAUCUGAGUGGUGACUCUGAACCCCUAAGCUUUAUCCAGGGAUUUCUCAGCAUCGCCUGCCUGGUUUACUAAGGGAGAGGGUGGUGACGAGGCAGUAGCCGUGAGGCAAGGCAAGCAUUGGGGAUGUUGUGAGCAGGACAUGGGAGAGCAGCGAUGCCAGACUGAGCGCGCUAAGCAGAUGAGUGUCGUGGGGAAAGGUAUGUGAUGGUGUAAUAGCUGUCCAUGUCAUGGAAGGCUGGAUGGCUACAAGCAAUGAAAUUUGAAAUCAAUCCCAAAUCCUGCCGAGUCCAGGAGACCUUCACACCCAUGAAGGCACCACUGCUGAGUCAGGCCAAUGGCUGCGUGCACACCCAAGAAAUACACACGUGCUGAUAGAAAACAGAUUUAAAAGUACCUAAAAUAAUAGCUUUUUAAGACAGUCUUACGAUCACAUAACUUGUUGGAAAAAGCAUACCAUGGCUCACAAUCUGAAUUAAACAUUGUCAUUGUGGUAUAGAAGAAGGUGCAUGCUCAGGAGUUGCUAUCUGACUGAGUUGCUGAAGACAGCGAGUCACUGACAGAGGAGUAGGAAUUAUCAAAAGAGAAGUGUCUGCCACCCUGUUUCUUUUGUGCUAACCACCAACAGCUGGAGACCAGGCCAAAGAGAGGCAAGAGAAGCACGUCUCAAGGAAGCAUGUGCUUAAGCACGAAGAUGAACAAAGCUUCCAGGGCUAUUCAAAUCAGCUCUGGCUAUACCAAGUCCAUGCCUAUCCAUUAUACUUUCCAUAUAUUUUAAUAAAUUCAAAGAGAGCUGCUGAGAUUAAAGGGAAGAGCUUUGUGGUGGACAACUCGAAAUGAACAGGCUCUUCCUGCUGUGCAAGGCAGCGACUUGCUGAAGAUGGAGCCUGCACAUCAAAGGAGAGGAUCAUAAGGAUUCUGCCAGGUUUUAAUGCAACAUACCGGCUAUUUUGACUUGAGCUGACCCUACCUCGAUUUGUUGUGUUCCUUCCUUAUCUGCCCAUUCUAAUGGAAGUCUGCCACACAUCAUGGAUGCAAAGUGUGGAGCAUCAGAUGUUCACAGCUUCCCAUUGUGAAGUGAAGGUGUUGGGACCACUUUGUCUUCAGGACUGGACCAACGCUUUAACUACAAGAAAGUGUCAGAUAUGCGGGAUGAUGAUGCAUGGAAAGAAGAAAAACAUUCCUGAGUCAUCCUGUUUCCUGAGCAUAAGGAGGCACAAGAUAAUUAAAGGAUCCAUAUGGAUUUCCAAAUGAAAAAGUUGGAGCUCCUGUUUAAAACUUGAACUCCAGCUCGGCAUGAAGGCAUCAGAUGUGCUUCCACUUGAAAAAGCGUUGUUGUACCAGCAUAUAUCCCGCCUGAAUUUUUCUCCUGGGUAAAAUCUUAUAAAUGUGUGUAUCGUGCAUAAUGAGGAUUGGAGGUUAGCCGCUUCCAGUGAAUUCCCUUUCAAAGUGUAAGGAAGAUGCAGAGCAGCAAGGAGGAGAAAUCCAUUGGUAUUUGAGCUCUGUAGGAUGAAGAGGUUUGCUGCUGGGGGAAGAUCAAGAGGAGGCAGUAGGAAUAUUUUGGGCACUUCUGAAGGAGAGAUGGAGACCAUCUGGUAGAGAGGAUGCUUAAAGGAAAAGUGCCAGGACAGAGAUAAAAGUAAAGGGAAAGGAAAUAGUGACUGAGUAACAUCAAAGAGUGAGGCUGACUAUAGAGCAAAAAGGAAGACAUAGCAGUGACCCAACAUAGGCAAAUCAUAAUACAAAUGGUGGCACUGGGCGACGAAUCCAUAUGAAUCGGUGAAGGCUCGGGGGAAAAGCUCAGCAUUUUAAUUUCAGGAAAGUCUACAGGAAAGUGGUGUUGACAUCUUUGGAAGGCUUAUAAUUUAAAACUGAUGCAGUAAGCAGGGUUCCCGCUGCUUCAGAAAUACUGUCCUGGAGUCUAAUCCAGAUACUGUAACUACAGCAGAAUUUUAAAUGGAGAGAUGCCAAGAAGAAUGUUUCUUCCCUCAUCGGCAUCAGCAUCUUUUCAUUUGAAUGACUUUUAGGGCAUUAGAUGUUUCCGUUGAACUGCUUUCUAAGGCUCGUGUCCUGAAGCAUUGGUUGGUGUGUGGUCCUUCCCUGUGUUGAGCUGGAGCCGAUCUCAUGUAAAGAAAGGAAGAUGCUGGUUUUGCUUUUCUCCUGCUGAAGGAGAAUAACUUUGGGCCAGUCCCUUUCUCCUGCCAAAGUCUGAAAAACUUUUCUGUCAUUGGAAUUCCACUGAGAGUGGAGCAGUGGUAAGCCCCGUGGCUUCUAUGGGUAGAGCAGUACAGGCUAAGAGAGUCUGAUCAUCUCUUGUGCUUUGUUUUACGCCCAACCCUAAACAUGGUGAGUCAGGACAGGCGAUGGGCCUAAUUAUAAAGACUGUCUGUGCUCCUGCCUCUCUUACUCCUUCCCAUCUGUAUUUAGGAGGACUUUCUGCAUCCUAGGGGAACCGUGCUUUAGGAGGAUUUGAGAUCAAGGCCUGAAAUAAUCUCAUGGUUUUCUUCCUGCCUGCCUUUCUUUCCUUCUUAACAAAACAGGUGUGUUACUUUUUUUACUGAAGUCGGUCCAAGGAAAGGAAAAGAAGAAAGUACUUCCAGAGGGUAAUUAGUCCCAUCUUAAAACAAGUGUGUAAGACAGGUAGGAUAAGUCUCUCUCUGAAAGUGCCAAUCUGUCACCACUAUCUAUAGAAGGAGCCUUCACGAGUAGCUUAGAGUAGGUGUUUGACUUUUACACAGUUAAAUUUAGAGGAGAUGAUUGCCACUUUUUAAGUCAGUCAAAGUGCUUGUUUAUAAUUGAUUAACCAUUAUAGACUGAAGAGUUGUGAGAGAGAACAAAAGUAAAAAUAUAAUGCCAUUGAUAGAGAUAUCGUGUAAUACGGAAUAGCAGUAACAGCAAUUGCAGAUGGUUAACAUUUUCAUUCCCCAUUGUUUUUAUUUUACUGUUAAAUCUUCCCAGAUUUUAGGUCUUGUUUGAUCCUGUAGAAGGAAAAAAUUUCCCCUGCUUUAGUGUAAGCAAAAAACUGCUGAAAUAUUUGUAGGAUUAAGAAGUGAUUUGUCCUGGAAAUGUCAAUUCUUAUAUGUAGGGUCAUUAAUCCAUAAAAUGAAUUUGCAAACAUUUCUAAGUUCCCUUUCGUGUUGUUGGUGUUUUACUUGACAUGCUUCUGACUGCUCUCUCAAUGAAGGCUGCACUCAGAAGAUCCUGCAAGGCGUACACUGACAGUGUGUGGGACUUGGUUUUGCAUGUGUCUUGACCUGGCAUAUACAGUCUGUUACAAUGAAAUAAACUCACUUGUCAUUUAAGAGUAUUAAUCAUAUUUCAGGCUGUUGCCCAAGAAUUUCAUUGUGUACAAUGCUUUCACCAGCCAGAACCAUACUGCAGAAAGUAAAUAGAUAAAAUCACUUUCUCUAGUAAAAAUAAUUCUUGACUACAGCCUCGCUUGCAGAGUAGAUAAUGCUUGUAGAAAUGGCAGAUGCUCUGAAGGUUUGGAGUAUUGUGACAAUAAGAAUUUUAAACAAAGUUGGAAAAAGCAGAUGGUAUAUAUGGACGGGAAAUCCUGUGGUAGUUUUGAUUUUAUGCAAGGAAAAGAAGGAGUUCCUUAGGUCCAUAAAUCUGUUUGUUUGCAGUACUCAAACAGAGAUUUUCAUGAUCUUAGCUUUCCUUUCUUCAAAACGUUGCUUUCAAGUACAGAUGGGCCUAUAUACCACAAGUUUGGGAUCCAGAUUGGGGCUUGGACCUGACAUUCAUCAGAGCAUAAGCAUAUUUGAACCUAGCAUUUGAGGUCAGCCUCUUGUGGAGUUAACCACCUACUGAUUGAGUAGAUCUCUCCUAUAUGUCAAGGCAUAGGUGUAGAAAGUACAAUGAUUUUAUUUAACUUGAUCUGUAAGGUAUUUAAAUUUAAUUUGGAAGACUUCUCAUGAAGCAGGAGGCUGUAUUUAUAAUUAUUAUUGUGUCUGAAGGGUGAAAUUACAUAUGACAAUUAAAUAUGGUGGAUAUUAUAAUAAGAUACAUGCUUAAAGUGGUUUCCAAUCUAAAUGUGUUUGAAGUCAAUAGGAGUACCUACGGCAAAGUAUUCGGAUCCUGAUUUAUAAUCUACCACUUUUACCCCAGUAUGGUUAUUUAUGGAUAAAUUGACCUGUUCCUAGAAUAGAAUAUGAUAUGUUAGUAAAACUGUACGCCUAGGUGUGGAAAGACAAUUAGCCUAUAAACACACUGACUUCCUCUUUAGGUUGAGAACACCUCAUAUUUCCAAGACUAAUGGUUUCUAAUCUGUUUUUAAAUGUUCCAUUUGGAUAGUGAAGGCGUAACUAUCAAAACACUGUAAAAUCAUAAUGCCUGUGCAGCUAUAAAUUACUGUUUUCAAAAUGAGCUGGAGGUCUCCAACUUAUUCCCAAGUGCAGAAAAGUUAGAUAACAUAAAACUGCUCAGAAAUGACUAGAAGCAACUUUUCUGGCUUUUUCCAAAUGCUAGGAAAUCGUGGAUCUGCCCACUAACUCCCUAGCAAUGCCCAUAUGGAUAGCAAUAAAGCUAGUCCCAUAAAGAAUACUUGAAUUGAUCAAAAGCAUUUCAGAUUAGAGAUCAACAGAAAGAGCUGCGUUGCUUUUUGUUUGUUUGUUUAUUUAUUUAUAUUCUGGAAAUUUCUCUGAUACAAAAAAUAUCUGACUUAUUUUUCAUUCAUCAAAUUGUGGACUGCUUCAUAUGAGAUACGAACUGCAUGACCUGCUGAUGGCGAAGUGCUGCUUCCAUGGAAGAUGCAGCUUUAAACAAUAAGAGAAAGCAUCAACCCUCUCCUGCCAUAUUUUGAACUUUGGAGUGUGCACAAGGAUGGAAAAAUACAGAAGGAUGGAAAAACACAAGGAGUGGUGGGACACAAUGCAAAGUGAGUCUGAGCUGCCUUUAACUUCAGCCUUUGCACUGUGCCAAUACACCAGGAAGAUGCAGUUUAUUCUACCAGGAAUGCUGAUAUUGCAAACACCUAUUUAAACACAGAAGUGUUGGAGGUUUGAACAUCUUUUAUGAAUACUACACCACUGUUUUAAGAAAAGACAAAUACAAGGAGGGAGAAAACAGAACCUCUGGGAUUUUUCUUUUUCCCUACAAAGUGCUAUGGGUGAAGGCUGUGGAGAAAAAUCUUCCCUGCCAGAAGCUGUGUACAGCAUGGGUUUCCCCAGUUCAGAUUUGAACCUCCCACCAGUCGUGUGACCUUCGGGCUGUGGGUAUUGUUGAAGGUAUACCGCUAUAAUCUCAGAUUUUUUUAUGUACCUGCACCUUCGCUUCUGCCAGAAUUACUUGCUGCAUUCAUCUAGCUGCAGAGAGACUCUGCUGAAGGAAAGAUUGCACGCAAGGACCUCAAUUCAAUGCCAGGGUAUUAUCUGGCUCAGCUUGGCACAGUUCAAGUGCACAACUGCAACCUUUUCCAUGACCCAAAAGUCAAUGCCACUCCGUGGGCUGGCAGUUUGCAAAUAAAACAGCAUGCUGCAUAGAUUUGAGAGAAGAAGAAAAAGGAAGAUUAGAAACAAAGAAGUUUGUCUGCGAGGCUUUUACUGAAUCUUAGCCAAAGGUACGAGUCUUUUAACGAAGAAAUACAGCUUCUACAGACUUGCUUUCUCUUCUUCAGUAUAAAUUUUGAUGUAUAAAUAACGUUCCUACGGAGACCUGGUCAUCUGCUGGUAUUGAUCACCUGCCUCCCUGUCCUCCAAGGUCUGAUUCAGUCAUAGCCUGAAACAAAUGUCAGCACCUUUACUGGAAAAUGUAGUAAACAGUGGAUUAGACAAACGAGAGGGCUGGAAAUGGGUCUGCUUCAAGUCUUACCGCAUACCUUGUGGAGUGAUGUCUGGAGAUGGUGGAGUCCUAGGGAGAAGUGUUCACCUGCUUGUUGAUUCACUGCCGGCUGUGUUCCCUGACUGCAAUCAGAGCACAUUUUCCCCUUCAGAAGUUUAGAAUCAAGGAGAAGGUAAACACAUGCCAAAUCUUGCAGUGAUGUUGGCCCGCUCCCAAAGUUGCAACAUAAUGAAGAAAACGUUCAGUUUAGAACUCUGUGCCCCUUUUUUACAACAUUCCUUAAGUUACUCAUGACAGAUGCAACUUUCCUGGCUCCAGAGGCUGAAACCAAGAUUCUGAGCUGUUAUCCUCAAGGAUAUUGCAUGAGCAAGCCCUCUCUACCAUGGCAUUACUGCUUCAUCCCAGGAAUAAUUCACCUGAUGCACCCUGAGACCAUGCUGCCUUUUUCACAGGGUAAUGUUAAUGGCUAAAAUGAUCAGAUGGGAUGUGACCUUCGGCUGCCCUGGGCAGAUUCUCCUGUGAGUCAGUGGUGGAUUUGGUUUCUACAGAGCUCAGCGACCUGCACCAGUCAAUGCUGGGGACUUCUCAAAGAAAUGGUUCCAAAUUCUCCCAGUGUUGAGUUAGCAUACUCCAAGAGGAACCCACCAGUUACAGAGGGCUUUGUAUUACUGGUCCAGGAGCAAUUUCAGUGUCAAAAUUGCCCCAGGAACUUUGGGAAUAGUUGGGCAAAAUGAUGGUCACAUCUGCCACCUCUCAUGAUGUUCCAGUUGUUUACUUAUUAGUGAGUGAGUAGCAUGUGGGGCUGCAGGAGCCCACAGGCAUCCACUUCCAAAUCCUCGGAGUUGCUGCAGUGCACAGCUCUUGCUCUUCUUUUAUUUUUUCUUUCCAAACAAGUUUUUUUAGCCUUUGACAUUUUAGGAGAAAUUUACAAAAGAAAAAGAAGAGAAAGAUCUAUUCUGAUUUCUGACAAAAUAAAGUUAAACUUCUGCAAGAAUUUAAGUAAGCAAUCAAAAACUAACUAUAGGUGUAAUAAGCAGAACUUUAUGUAUUUAUGCCCAUCAAAGAGGCAACAGCAGAGUAGUGUUGUCUAUCUAUGUGCAGAAAACAGUGGUUUUCUCAGCUUCAUCUCAUGAGUAUGCAGAUGUGGCUGUGGCUAAAGGAGAUGUGCUUGAAGCGGUAAUCAACCUUUUAAUUCCAAUGGUAAAAUUGCCAUGUGAAGGCAUGCAACUCCUCGAGGGCUACAUGACUCUCCAUACAGUCUUGGCACUAUGUGGGCACCAUUGGUACCCACGAUGCACCCCAGACCUUACCUACACUCUGCUCUGUGUCAGGACUCAUUUCAGGACUCAUUUUGAUCUCAUUUCAGAGGUGACUGUACUGUGGGACUGUACAGAGCCAUGCUGGAUCAGAAAUGGAAAACAGAACCAUAGCCAGCAACAGAUGGAUAGAAGAAUUUUGGCUGGAUGUUGCACAAAAAGGUCUACGUACUCUUAGGUUUGUGGUAGAAGAGUUCUCCAAGAUGCUAAUUUUAGGUACAGUUUGAUGUAGAACAUUUGUUCUUCAAUAUCGACGACCUUCUUCAAAAGCACACAUUAUUCCAGACCUUGGGUAUGACAUAAAGGGUUAAGCUGUCCUGUUGUACGGAGAAGCCAGAGCCGCCUCACUGCUCUGUGAAAUCCAAGGAAAGCAGUGGCUCCCGAAAUGCCCUCCCUUGCCUGAACAGUUUGAAGGGAGAAAACACUUCAACUGUGGCUUUCCCAACAGCCUUUUCCUGGGAUGGAUAUUUUCUUCUACAGAAGAAACUUCUACAGAGAAAUUCUGAUACGGUCAACUAACUAGAGCAUCUGGUGUAUGCAGCUGGUCUAAGGAUUCAGCAAGAGGUGAGACCAGGAGCUGUUUAAUCACCACAAACAUGAAGACUAACCCAAGCAUGCUCUCCCUUCUCUGGAGGAAGUCAAGCAGCAGCACUGAGGCAUAAAUGUUCAAGUCCCUUCCAGACGUCUUGCCUGCUUCUGCCUUGAGUCACUAGAAAAACAAGGUGGUUUUGCUGGGUGGAGAUUUGUGUCAGAAUAACUUGCAGAACCGAGCCCUCAGUUUGCAAACGGCGGCGAACUUCAGUUCAUUAAAAGAAAUUUCAGAGGUGAGCUUCGUGAUGCUUUAAACAAUCACUGGAGGAAAAUAUUGGAGCUUUCCACCAAGGCCGUGAGCCAAGCCAGGUUCCAUCUGUGCACUCUCCUCUACUUGAGUGGUCACGUCCAUGUGCCAUUACUAAGGAUGUAUGGUGGAAUCAUGCCAAGCCUUCAACCUCACAUUUUGAACUUCUCAAUAAGAAAGACGGGGGGAUGGUUUUAAAAAGCAAAAGUCCAUGUUCUUAAGCAUCAUCCUCGCUCUUGGUAUUACUGGCAACGGCUGCCCAGGAAUCACUGUCCCUGGAGGUAUUCCAGAACCACAGAGAUGUGACACUGAGGGACACAGUGAGUGGACAUGGUGGGAGUGGACUGCGGUUGGACUUGAUCCUAGAGGUACCUCUGAGAGACAAAGGUCAGGAAAUGGGCUCCUUGCCAGGCCACGGCCACGAUCCAGGUUUUCUGAGACUGAGUACAUUCAUCUGAGCUGUUAGCUGCUACGCUCCACCGCAUCCCUGUAUGAUCUGCCUAGGCUUGGUCCCCCAGAGGAAAUUUCUGCAUGCAUACUGUAUAUGAACUUUAGAUAAAUAAAUAAACACGAGAAACAGCUUCCAGAUAAUUGAAAGCGAGUGAAGGAGGGAGCAAAAAGAAAACAAUUUCUCAGGGGAGAAGCAAGCUGAGGUGGCAGGUGCAGCCUAAAUUCAGCCAAGGUAUUUUGGUUGUUCACUACCUUCGCGUAAUUAAAUAUUGAAGCACGCUGAGCUGUGGUAUCAACAUCCGUAUGGUACAAAUACCUUUUCAGCCCAGCUGGACUCAGCUGCAUUAUCUGUGACCUGAAAAGCACACGCUCACCUUGGUUAAAUGGGGCUCGACUCAGCAAUAUUCAGCAGAGCUGCGGCGGUUCCUGGCUCUGGCCACCAAGGCUCCACAGGAUUUUCACUGCUCAGGUGUUGCAAAGCCUAAUCCUUAUUCAGGAACCAAAACGCUCCCCUCUCCUUGCCUGCGGUGCUUGGAUGCCUGCCUUUGGCAGUAGCCCCAGACUCCUGCAGAAGAUGAAGACAUCCCUCCAUGCCUAUAGAUGGAAAAGCGCCAACAUGGAUGCCAUCAGAAGGACGCAGCUGAGCAUAUGCUGAGAAAAUUGUGGCAUCCAUACUGUACAUGGGGAAGGGCUGACUGAACACACCAGUUUGUUGAAGCUUAUGGCCCUGAAAAGGAAACAUAGGUUUCCUGUAAAUGUCAUUCAGGGAUAUGCUAACUGUUAUUUCCUGGCACUGGAUCAUGAUGCUUUCAACACAUUCUGUUCCUCUACCUCUGCUGCUACCUCUGCUGCCUGCCUGCCUGGUUGUGCGCAGUGAUAGCUCUCCUGUCUUCUCACCUUUCCUCCUCCCCGCGCCAGGCAAAGGUAUUCUGGUUGGGAGGGCCAAUGUCAGCGAGCGAGAUGACAGACGGAGAGAUGAAAUCUCAGCCCUGCACUCAGCCUGGCUGCUGCCUGUACCUGGGCCUUGCUGCACCAUCCCUUGAACGCAAAGCAAUUCAAGGAAAAGAGUAACUUCUGUUACAUUAGAAAUCACGCAUUUCUGACCCAGAAAGAGAGGAAUUUCACAGUCUCUCAGGACAUGUGCUUGAAGGGAGGAUUUCUGGAGCCUAAACCAGAGGAGCCCAGGAGCUGCUGGUGUGAAGGCUCACCGCAAGCACCUGCUGCUUCUGGAGGAGUUCCUGUGGCAAUGCAUGUGCUCAGGAUGAAUAGGAAUCCAAGUUAACAGAAGGAAGAAACAACUCUUUUGUAGUAAUGCUCUGUAGGGCAUUAUCACAGCUAAUCUUAUGGUGGUAUGUUUUAGUCCAAAAAUGUUACUGCUCAGGUCCAUGCUACACCAUUUGUCAGUUGUUUACACCCUACAUAUGGAUUAGCACUGUAUGCUAGCUAUGAAAACCUGUUCUGCUCUUAACCCACCUGCAUGAAGCGCUGAAGCAGCUCACUGCAUCUGAUAUUUAGCUUUACUUCCUUAAGAUGUUGGACCACAAGAAGCAGGCACAGGUACAGGUAACUUGGUAGUGUAAUAAACUCUCCCCAUGUUUCAUCCACCAUUGGCUGUCAAGUUUAAAGAUGUUUGUAAUGAUUUGCCACUGGUGAAAUCCAAAGUAAGACUAGGAAUGUGUCUGUUUUGGCCAACUAGUAAUGACAGCUUGAAUGAUAUUGCACCAAAGUACUUUUGGACCACUAUUGGUUCACUGCCUGAAAAUAAAAUCUUUUUAUUUAUUUUGUCUCCUAUACCCACCAUUCAGAUUUCCUUCAGGAAACAUACCCUGGCCCCUGUCCACUAUCGGAUAGGUGAGAGUGAGGCGGUCUUUGCAGUGGUUAAGCACAAAUUUUGCAGAGAAGGGAUAAAGUGUUGUGGGCAAGGACCUGUGGGCUGAAAGUCAGAGUAACCAUGAUGCAGUGCCAUCACCCCACCUCACAGCUCAGAGUCUUGCAUAUCGCAUGGGCUGCCUGGAGCCUACACAGUUCACAGAGUGGAAAAAGGAAUUGAAGAAGCAAAAAUAAAUACUAAAGCAUGUAAGAAUUAAAUAUCACCUAUUUAAAUAGCAAUUACGCCGCUAAAAACAAGAUCACCACACCUGUACAAGAAAAGACAAGCAAGCCCAAAACAUCUGUUUGCAUCCACCUGCCAAGCACCUGUUCCGCUGUUUCAAUGCCAUUUGAUUGCUGGAGAUGUAGAGGCUCUUGUGAGGCUGGUCGUCACACAGGAAACUGUAUGCAGAGUCCAUCAGCCCAUGCUCUUCAUCACGAACUCAGUUGCUCUUUAAGACCAUCUCCCAGAGAUGAGGAAGAUGCGUUGAUCCAAACGAGACGCAGCCAAGCUUGGAGCAUCCUCUCUGCUCCAUCCCAAGGUAAGCCUGCAGCUGGCACGGCCUUGUGCCUUCAGCCAGGGCCAUUUUGAGGUGGGAACAGAAGAAGAGAGCAGCCAAGGGUUCUCCUGCCCCAGCAUGUGCCUGCUCCCCCCUAGCUUCCUCAGUAAUUAGUGUCAGUGAUGGUGUUAGAUGCUAUUAUGGGAAGAUUCUGCUGAGAACAGAGCUGAGCUCUCCAUGUGCACUUCCCAGGGGAGCUUUGGCACUUUGUCCUCCUCCCCCACUUCCACUGCAGCCACUACAGCAGCUUCCGGGACUCACGGCUGAUUUGAUGCUGUUCUUGAAACAAAGCUGCUGGAGGGUAUUUUAUACCUGAGGGGCCACAUCCUGAGCCUGGGACAGGCAAGUACCAAAGCAGUGGAAGAGGCUGGCAGCCCUGCCGAGGUAUUGUGGUGAACAGCCUAAAAUUUUAGUGAAAGUGAGCAACGUGGAAAGUAGAAGUGGACAAAAACUUUCAGAUCUUCUCAAUGGCCAUGUCCUACCCAUCGUCCUUGAUGGGGCAAUAAAGUGAGGAAAGAGUAAGAGAGGAGAAAAAGAAUGAGACGAGUAAUGUGAAAGUGGGAAUGGAUGAAGUCAAGAGGCUGAAAAAUUAAUUAAGCAUGCUGCAAUAGGCAAUUCUUAACAGACACUGCAGUGCCCUGUGCUAAAGACUGUACAGUGAUGCUAGGGCACUGAUAUUUAGUAUUGCAGGUAUAGAACCCUCAAGUUUUGGAUCUUGUGGUCAUCGGGGUUGGUGGAGUGGGCUUGGGUGUGCAUUGUAGAGUAGAACAAGAGAAGGUGAAAAAUCCAAGAGACCAAAACAGCACAGUGUGCUUCAGGUCCUCACUGGGUGGACAGGGAUAGCUUAAGCUCUGUGCCCUGCACUUCUCAGGAGAUGUCAGCCCAGGGUCCCUGCAGGACUAAAAGCCUUCAUGGCCACGCUUGGCUAAGCAAGCAGACAUUUAGGGGUUUAACUGAAGUGGAUCUGUAAUCUUUCAGUAUUUUAUAAUACAGUAUGUUACAGGAGACCAUAAAUUAGAGCUUAUAAUACCCGAUCCGCUCAGCUACUGACAGAAUAUCUAAGGUAAUCUGACCUGCUUCACAGACCGUGAGAAAAAUCCUCAUGGAAAGUGAAAGAGAUGAAUUACAGAAUUUUACAGAGAAGUGGGAGAAUUUCUCUCGGCUCAGAUCUUGGGUUAAUUCCCAUGUAAGGUGAAAGAAUGUUUCACCACAUUUUGCUCAACUGAAGUUGGCAAGCUUUAAUAGAUGCAGCCCUGCAGGCUGAGGGAUAAACUCUGCUCCCUUUCACUCACUUGAGCCACUGCCCAUGUGAUCAACAAUGUGGGUAGUAAUAAAGUGAAGGAAAUAAGGGAAGAGAUCUCUGAGAGAAAGCAAACGAUGGGAUGAAAUGCUGCAAAAUGUCUGAGGAGGUGUUUUUUUCUCAUUAGGAAUGGGGAUACAUCCCAGUGCUCUACCUCAACAAUAAGGAAGGCAUUUCCUAUCUGCUCGGAGCUGUUGUUCCUCCCUGUCACAAGCAGAGAAUAAAUACAGUCUCAUAAUUACAGCAUGCUGAAGGUGGAAGCUUUUCCUAUGGAUCAACCACUCUUUUUUUUUUUUUUUUUUUUUUUUUGCCCUCCUGGUAAUAGUUGAUCUAUAGAACGUGUCUGUGAUCGUUUCAAAUGGAAGCUAGCAGUUACUUUCUGUUUUCUGCUUUAUGUUCGGGAAAUGUGUCUCCAGAGAUGCCUCCUUCUCUCACCUCUUCCCAUAACAGUGAGAGGUGCCAGCAGCUCCUCUGCCACUUUCCUAACUAUUUCCAUUCCCCUUCUACGUACUUAUGUUUCAUACUUGCUCUCUCAGUCAAUUCCUGCAAGAACUAAAAUGUGGGUCUUGGUCGUGUUAUGUUGGAUGCUGAUCUCUGAGCCAGGUCAGGUGCCUGCAGGCAGGAAAAUAUUUGGUUUUCUGCCAUCAUUUCUUUGUAUCACACCUUUACUGCAAAGUGUCCAAAGGAAAUGAACUUUUCCAGAAAAACAGCCCGAAGAAAACCUUUGGAGUUUCUCAUUUAUGAGUAUGUUUGUGUGAUCCAGGCCUUCUGUGAGGUUUCUAGAUAAUGCAUUGGUAAGAUGAAUGGAGACCUUUGUGUUAUCUGUGAUGGGGCAGAAAGCACACAGCUUCUGGAGUCUUUUGAGGAACUCAGAUGGAAGACGUUACACAAAUCCAAAGCGUGCAUUUUUUUAAUACCUCCUGAUUUAUUAGAUAAAUGUGUCAUCUUUACCUUAUAACUUCUUCGGCCUUGGUUUCUUUUCAAGAAUUAACCAGGAGCUGAUGAAUUUAAGGGAAAUUUUCCAGUGCUGACCAGGAGAUCUGAGAUCUUGAUAUCUCUGUGUACUUUCUCAAGGUACCAGUAGUCCCAUUUCCUCAACCAGUAGUACACUCCUUCUUAUUCUCAGUCAUAAUUGUGUUGAAACUGCCAAGUGUUCUUUCCACCUCUUUAAUUUUGUUCUCAGAAGAAAUCCUUCACUUCUUUGUAUGCAGAGGCUGCUGUGGUCUGGAUCUCAUCUCGUCUUCUAGUAACAUCUUCCAGAUUUGUUUUAAACUGAUUAGACGCUGCUGAAGAAUCAGCUCUCUCCCCCGGACAGUACAAAGCAGAGUGCUGGCAGAGCUGGCUCUUGGCCAUCAUCUACAUGGUGACGCAGCAUCACAUCACUUGACAGCCCCAAUUUCAUUUGGGGAGCUCUGAAAUGUUCACAUGCACUGAAAAAAAUUAUAAUAAUACACAAGGUGACAGGAGGGUGCAAUUAAAACAGAAGCGCCAGCUUGACCAGAGAGUGGCUUUAAUUGGAGGUCUUCUAUACGCUGGAGCACAGACUCUAAAAGCCAUCACCAUAAUAGUCAAGUAUAAACAUUCCAUCCUGUUUCAUAAAGAGCCUACGGUCCAUUUUAUUGCAACACAGUUACUUUCCCAGAUCCCACGAGUGACAAGGCGUGAUGCUUGAAAAAAUUCUCUGAAAUUUUCUCACCGUUUUUGCUUGAAGUAAGUUGCAUUCUGUUUACAAACUUGGGAAAAUGGGCCUCUUUUGCCUACUUUUGAGUGUCAUGGGAACACAUACCGAGAUCUGAUCCAGUAGCACUGCGUGAUGCUGGGAGCUUCUCAGGGUCCCGUAGUUUGCCCCCGAGGGUGUUUCAGGAUGCGGUGUAAAGUUGCAUGCUGUUUGCCAUGUCCAGGGUCCCAGACACAUGGGGAAUCAGACUGGCUCCAAUAUUGAAAGCUGAUCAUUUUUCAGACAAACAUAGAUAUGAUUUUUGUUAUUUAUUCACGCUGAAAUGUUAAUAUGUCCUCAUUACUCUAAAUUAUUUCAUUUUCAACUUACAGUAUGUUCAUGGAUUGCUUGAAGGAAUUACUGGCUUUAGCUUAUGUUAUCUGUGACUCACUUUUAAUAGACUUGACUGGCCAGGUAAUUUCCACAGUAUUGUUUUUGGCUCCUUAACUGGAUCCCAUCCAAGUUUACAAAGUGCUUCCACAGAGAUAAUGGAGAACAUUCCAGCCUCCUGUGAAAUGUCAGCUCUGUGUCCAGUGCUAGACGUGCAGCAUUAACCUGGUUAAAGCUGCUGGAUUCUGUAAUUUCUUUCUGGGAAGUACCAAACAUCCUAAAGACACCAAGUCAAAUCUGCCAAAAGCAGGAGAGAAAAAGAAAAUGGGAGACUCAGAGUGAGAGUGAAAAGUAAAUGCAAUGCUAUUACUUUACACCAAAGAACUGUAAGUUAAUUGAUGUCCAUAAUAAACUUUCAGUAGAAAAGUAUUAAAUAUUUUUGAAGACGUCUGUAAAUCCAGUAUUGGGAAAAAAAAAGUUACUGUUAUCUGGGUUUAAUCAGCUGAGAAAAGCAUGAUGAUAAAUAAGAUUUAGUGGAAGCAUAAAUUGAAAAUGGCGAAUAAUACUUUUAAAAGGGAGCCUACUGGAAUACGUAUGUCUCUAUGUCUCUGAGGUAUUUGAUUUGGAAUAUAUAAUCAUCUCCUUUGAGGAUAUUUAUGAAAGUUAUUUCUGAAUGUUCAGAGAUUUCUCUGCUUUUCAUUAUCUAUUUUUCUUAACAAGGGCCAGAACUGUAUGCCUGAUUUUCUGUGAUAUAUUCACUUGGGAGGUUUUCUCGUACUGGCCAAGGACACAUCGUUUACAAGAAGGUCCUGUCAAGCAUCCAAAUGUCUCUGCUGAAGCUUCCAUUUUAGAUGACCCCACAGAAUGUGAGAAAACCUUCUUUUAGGGGAAUGGCAUCUUCUGGCCAGAGCUGUGUCCUGAAAGGCUGCUGUGCUUAACGCACAGUUGAAAUGCCCAAUGCAAAUUAAUGGUAGAGGUAGGGAUGAUGUACCUGUGUUUUCUCAAGAAAGAAAACUCAAACCCUUGGGAUGAUAUUUUCUGCAUGCAUGAUUACCUUCAUUGCAAUUUGGAUUUCUGAGAAGGUCAGUUGGACUUUUGGGCCCUGUGUUCUGGAGAAAUCUGAAGAAUUUGGGUCAUCUUCCUCUCUUGACUUAAAAAUAACUUCUGUUAAUGCAAUUUGGAAAGCAUAUUUCUUUGAAUAUGAUCUUCCAUUUGCAGAGGGGGCAAAGUUUACAAUUUUGGGUGGAAACCAUGUGAAAGCUAGCGGUUCCAUCAGGGGUUUGUUUGGAAAUUUUUGGAUUUGUUCAAACUCAAAAGUCAAAGUGAAACUCGGGGGAUGUGAACCCGCUUGAAUCAAAACCAAAACAGUGAUGCGCCAGAUCUCCCAUGAACCAAAACCACCGGGUUCUCACAGUUCUCAUCCAAACAAAAAUGCACUAACAUAAAUCAAAUACCGAACCAAAUAUCCUCUUUUGCUCCAUCUGGCUUUCAUGGAAAUAACUCAGAAUAUUUAAAAGGUCUGCUCAGUUUUGCAGCAGCAACCACCAAAAUAUCCUGAGAUCAUUUGAUAUCAGGCAGUUAAUAUCCUGAUCUAUUCUCUUUAGUCAGUAUUCUAAUCCUUUUCUACCAACACUGCCUUGGAGUGCACAGCGUAACUAUCCCUUAACAUCUUCCUCGAUUGUACGGUUUCACAGGGAAGACUCUGUGAACAAUUCACAGUCCUUCUCCUUCUCAUUCUUGCUCAGAGAGCCAAGAAAGGAGUUGGAGCUGCAAGCAGAUGAAAAAACCAAGCAGUACGAUCAGUACGGAAGCAGAACACUUAGCUGCUAUAGGACAAGCUGGGGCACUGAGAAAAUAUUUAAUGAUAAUUUUCCUUGUGAUUUCCCUUGUUUGAGACCAUACUAUGACCCUGAAAUGAGAGAAUUAAAAAAAAAGAUGUUUUGCAGUAUAUCAUGUAGCAAAACGUCUCUAAAGCCAUUAAAAAAAGUGCUGGGCAUGGAAGAACAGAAAAGGUUUCCUCUGUAACUAAGACACGCUUGUUUGUAAUAACAUGUGCUUUCAAACACUGCCAAGUUGCUGAGGAUAUCUCUGUUAUAUACAAUCCUGAAAAAUGUGUUAAAAAAAACAAGGUAAUGUAAAAAAAAGAAAAAAAAUCUAAAAAAAAGAAGAGUUUGAUCAGAUGGUUAAAAUCCAGUCAAACCUAAGACAACCUGUUUAUGACCUUUCCAUGCUAAAAGCUAGAAAUGUCUUUCUUUUUUUUUUUUUUUUUUUUUUUCCACAAGAUUAAUUACCAUCACUUUGGGAGUAGUGAGCUGGACAUUAUUAUAUGAUGUCAAUUAAUGAUUAAAAAAAAGGUGGUUUGCAAAUGUAGCACCACAGUCCCUGGUGCAUUACAUCAUUUCUGAAAGAUCUUAACACGUGAUAAGCAGAGAACAUUUUAACCUAAAAGUCUGAGUGUUACAACCUCCUUUUCUGUUGUAACACCCUACCCACAACCUUUUGGCCUUGAAGUCACUCGCAAUAAAAUUAAGAAGUCAAAAAGAAAAGGGGGGAAAAAAACCUCUGGGAAAGACAAGACACACUUCUGUUUUGCUGUCGAGCAGAUAAUGCAACAAAAUGAGUGGCUAUACGCAUUGGGAAACGCGGUUGCUGAUCUUUGUGCAGUGUUCUCAGCAAGAUUCGUCAUCAAAAUCUCAUGCUUAGAGUCGUAAGGUUGCUGUGAUUCAGGUAUUAUAAACUACAUAAUGCAGUUAUCUCUGUGAGAGUGCCUCGAAAAUUUCAUGCGCUGACUGAAAUGACUCCUGCACUUGUCUAUGCGCUGCUUUCCCAGAUGGGCUGACAGUGAUCAUUUUAUGUGCCUUAUUGAAUUCGCUGAAAUAUUUAGAAGGGUUUCUACCUAUAUUUUACAUCUCCUUCUGUUAUUACCUUUUUUGCAGCAACAGUUUGACUUCUUCGUCAAUAAUACACAUAACCUGAUCCAUUCUUCUCUGAGCUCUUCUCCUCUUUUAGCGUCAAAAUGCUGUGGAUGUUCCUUUGUAAACGAUAUGCAUUUAAAAUACCUUUGUAAUAAUAAAUACCACACGAACAUAUGUAUCAAGGAAAGGAUUUCAAUUUUGAUGACACUUGCUUCUCAAGAACAGACAUUCUGGAAGGAAAAAACAUUGCCAGCCCCAAAUUGAUUGACAUUUGUUUACUUAACUCUCUCUUCUUGAAAGUCUGCACACCUAUUUCAACCUUGAACAGUUUCCAACUGUGGUAUACUGGAACAUUUUUUCAUUUAUUAAGUUCAGUGUUGCCAACCCAAACAAAGAGUAAUCAGUGAUGAUCCAAGCAGACCAAGCUGUCUAGCACCAUACAAUGUAUCUGCAUGCUAAUUUUCAAAUUCCCUCACAUUUCCAGAGAACUAAUGGGAUCAUUUUCAUUCUGUUACAGCAACUCAACAGUUACUGAAUCACCAUCUGUGUUUUCGUUAACCUGAAUCAGAUAUGAAUUCUGUUAUUGCAAGGUAGAGCAGCUUGUUUAAUGAUUCUUAAUCUUUUCUUUAAUUAAAUCAUGCAGCCAACCUGAAAAAUCUAUCUUAAUGCAAAUUAGGAGCUUUUUUGGCAUUCACUUACAGUAAUGCACUAAUAAGGUUAAUUUAUGAAGGUUCUCUUCCAGUCUGUACAGAUGAUAUUUGUUCGCUGCAUAUUUUUAGCAUAUUGUCCCCUUUUCUAAUAUUUAAAAAAAUAUCGCUAAUAAAAAAGGGGUUGUUUUCACUCAUACAAAAGAGGAAGGCUGCGAGCUGCUUUUUGUUUAUUUGAAAGAACACAGAAAAGGAAGAUGGGUUUCUCCCCUCCGUGAGCAUCUCUCCACGCGGGUGCAGAGGCACAAAUCGAGGACUGCUGGGUUAAAUGGUUUUGGAUGAGCACUCUCCACUUCUCGCUGGAGAAAUUCAGGCCCCGGUUCAGAUGAGCAUCUUGAAGUUAUCAGUGGAGACAGAGAGUUUCUCUGAACCCUUUGUUUUAUUUUUUUUUUCCUUGUAGGUGUGAAUUAAUUGUAUAAAGAGUAAAUAAUUCUUGUGAAAUAAGCCCGAAUACUUUCCUCAGUUGCACAAUUGCUUCAGCUCGAGGCUCUGAUGAUCUCAGUCAAGAAAAUUUCUGUCUUUGAACGCAUUCCUCCCAACUACAGAAUUAGUUGAAAUCUGUUCAAGUUGCUGAGUAAAGAGUAAACUUUGUUGUUUUCUUUUUAAGGUUAUUUUUCAACACCCACAAGCAAAUGGGGACAGCGACUGCAAAUUUCAACACGCGGCCGUUGCUAUUUAAUUAAAAUCACUGAGGCUGGCUGAAGACUUUUCAGCAGAGUGAUUUCACAUCAGAGAACACCGGUUCUCAAAAUCUGAACAUUCUUUUCAUAGAAAUCCAUCCCUCCAUUUCAACCAGGAAUGAGAUUUCAGUUCUAGGAAAGGACUUCUCAUCCCAGCUAGGAACGGCAAACCAUCACUCCCCUUUUGCGGCGGGGCUGCCCAACCGUGGCAGCCAGAGCAUCUCUUUCCACCCCUCUCUGUAUUUCCAGCUGUAAUCGUUCCAUGUCUGUCUGCAUUAACUAUUUGCACAGCUCAGGACAGGAGCUCUUGUCCGAGGAGUGGGGAAUCUCCAAGGCUGUGAUUCUCUCUGUUUCAUUAAAGGUAAUGGCAGGGCAGAAUGCCUGCAGGGUGGUUGAACCUUCCUCUCGUUCCUUGCGACCGGGGAAUGGAAACAAUAUCUCACACUAUUUGUGCAGUGAUUCCUGGCUUGUUAAUAUUCUGGUGUGGCUGUUUUUCUCUGCUGUGAGGAACUUUGCCCACUUAGCAUGGGGUUUUGCCUCUGUCUAAGUGGGAAUGCUGCUUUUCCUUUUCCCUUCUUCCAUUUGGAAAGCUGUUUUCCUGCCAUUGCUAGUCCUUUCUGUGUAAUAUUAGCGCAGAGAGAAUGAAAAGUAACUGCUUUCCUUCCCAUCCAAUCGUACCUACGUAGUCUUAAGUAUAUUAUAUGCUUCGCUUCCUGCUUCACCCACUAGUAAAAUAUGUUGAUAGAUGAAUACGGGGGUAAGAUUGCUUUAAUUAGAACCUAUUGCCCUGCACACUAUCUUCUCUAAAGACUACCUGUAUUAACAUCUGGGGAAAAUAAGUCUUAAAGAAAAUUUCCUAGGACAGAUUUUUGGACUUCACCCCCCAACUUCUGCUUCCCAACCCUUUCAAUUUCUCAAGUAUAUUUAAAAAUGCAUGACUCACCCUGUUGCUUCCUUAUAUUUUAUGGUGAGGUGGGGGGGGGGGGGGUGCCUUCAUUUUCAUUCCUGGGAUUACCUUUAACGAAGUGGAAAACAUCUAAGGGAUGGGAUAAUACCUGAUGCUUACAGUUUUCUUUACAUCACAUUACAGUAUUUUCUCAGGUAUUAAAGUAGCACUGGGCUCAACUAAGAGGAGUGAUCAAACUGUCUACUAAUGAAGUUACUCUGACAGGAACUCCAGGAACCGGAAACUGAACUUCAGAAUCAUGAAGAGCACUGCUAGAUGAAGACAUGGGCUGGAUACAUGUCUACCACACUAGAAGAAACUGAAAGAAUACGAUCCCAUUUGACUCCAAAAGUCUUUCUAGGCUAAUUACCAGCUCACAGAGCAGAGAAAUUAAGGCAGAGAGGGAAUGUUCAUGAUGACAACCUUUACCCAUUAGCAAGCUUUGCAUUUUCCCAAGGCUGAAGACAGUUUAGCCCUGACAAAUCCAAUCAGUGAUAUGCAGGCGUAACCUCCAGAAAUAAGCUCACAUUUUUAGGAUCCACGGGGCAAAAGAUGGACUGCAGUAAGUCACUAUGAAAAUAUUUAAAAUACAGCUUGGCCAGUGCUGAAAUGGCACAGUUGGCCUGAAGUCGCUUCAAGGUCUCCUGGCAUCUGCGUGUUUCCCCAGUGGCUUUGUGCAGUAAAGUGUUAACUUCUCCUGAGUGGUUACGUGUUUAAGGCAGUAACUUUAAAAUAAAGAACUGCAACCUUAGAGCAAAGCUGCUAUUUUGAGAAUUUUAAACCAUUAUUGACUCCUGUCAGAUCAGUUUCUAGACUUAUUGACUCAAGAAGUAAAUAUAGACUGAGAGAAAGCGAGGUCAAGUCAAUAUUUAUCUUGCAGAUCAAUACAUUUUGAUACUAACCAAAAAUUAAGCUCAAUAAAUGCAUAUAUUAUACACAGCAAGGUUAGAAGAGAUCCAUUCAGAAAAUUUGUCAAUUUGAAAUUUCCCAACGGAAUCCAACCUUUUGGAUUCAAUUUCCAUUAGAAAUUCUGUCCCUUUAAGGUUGCUUCAGUGACUGAUCACGAGCCCCCAUCACCCAAUCAGGUUUCCAGAUGAACGUUGAGUAGCAGCGAAAGGAAAAGGGAAGAAUGAUGAAGUGAGAAGAAGUUGGUCACAGGAGCUCGAUUACGGUGUUAGGAGGAGGUAGGAGAACGGAAGAGCUGGCAAGCUGAGACACUACCAGUACUUUGUGGAAACCGACAUAUGAAUUUGUUCUACAAAUGUGCCAGGGACACACUGAUCCAACAGUUAGAUCACUUCCAGAAGACACGGAGUUAGAUCUCUGAGUUCACUUCCAAUUGCUGACUACUACUAUCCAAUAAAAGAAAAAUUCUGCGUAAAGUAAACAAGGAAAAUGGAGGAGAUUCUGCUGGAAGGACAGAAGGGACAGCAAGCAUGGAGAUUUAAAUCAGAGGAAGACUGACUGUCACUGCAGAGGGGAAAGGGCAUGAGAAUGAGCACUGCAAGAAAAAAAAAUCAUCAAAAAAUUCCUCCUUCUCUGGGAUGAAUACAGGGGAGUAAAUGUGUUCCUACAAAAAUUGAAUUAUGUAGUGAUUUUAAAUAUGGUGUGAGAAUGAAGGACAUAUGAGCUGCAACGAGAGAACCAAAGAGGAAUUAUGUGAUGUGUUCAGGCUGGGAGUGUGCCUCACAUGACAACAGGAAGAGAGGAAAGGUGGAGGAAAAAAAAUGCAGAAUCGACUCUAUUCUGAGCCAUUAAUGUCAGCCAUGUUGAUGUUUUGUAGCUAGUUAUAUUUGCUGAUGGUUCCCACGCACUCAUGACAUUCAACUUUGCAUCAUCCCCUAAAAACUGGAAAGAUGUCUCUCUGAGAAUGACCUAUAGCUUUGAUAUCACCAUAACUAAUUUCCUUUUCCUAAAGUAAUGGUGCCUACUCUUGAGGAGCAGAAUGCUGUGAGCUUUUAUUUCCAGUCUGAGGACAGUUCUGUGAUAGGUGGAAUAAUGCCAGAACCUACUUUUCAUUAGAUUGUAUGAUCUGACUUUAUCUUGCAUGCUCUGUGUGGUUUGAGUGAAUAAAUCACACCAGAAUUUAUGGGGUUUUCAUCCUUACAAAUGAAUCUUCAUCAUUACUAUGUGGAUAUAAGUAUUCUUGGGCUGCAGAAGACAGUGAGACCCACCAGGGCAACACAAACUGAUGCCAACUUGCCACCUACUACUCCCUUAACCCAAAACUCCAAUGACCUGGGCCACUGAAACACUGGGAUCCCAUAGGGACCUGCCUGGCCAUUCCAUCUGGGGUUUGCAGGACAGGAUCCUGGUCUUUUGUGAAAACUGUUGACUAAAAAUUCAAUUUUCUCUUUCUCUUUUUUUCUUUUACUGUAAGAAUGGCAGAAGAGGAAUGGCCAGAAGCCACCUCCUUCUUGUUUGGACCAGCCUGCUUUUCUAAGGGCAACAAAAAGCAACAGAAGUGGUAGAGAAGAUGAAUGCAUCUUCCCUCCCUUCACAUAAAUUUGUGUUUUUUUUUUUCCUGUUGUUGUUGUUUUAUCCUUUUUUGUUUUAUUAUUUUUCCUAUUUAUUUUGCAAUUGGAAAAGUCCUGGGAUUUCAUUAACAACUUCCCAGGAUGACAGUGAGACCCUCACGACCCAGCAGCGAGUUCCAGUUCCCACCUGGGUGCCUCUGGAGAGUGACAAAUCUCUUGGAUGUGCUCUAACAUCCCAGAAGCACAGGCCAGGAACAUCUGUCUGUUCCUUCCCUUCCUUCAGACUGCCCCGAGGAGGAGGGAGGCAGGCAAGUAAUGAUACGAAAGGCAAAGGCUCAACUGGCCGUGUUACAUUAGCCAACUCAAAUAAUUCCUCUUGGCUGUGGAAACAGCCUUCCCAUCCAAAGCGGUCUUUUUUUUGUUUGUUUGUUUUUUUCCCUUUUUCCCCCCCAAAAAACAAGAACAGCUUAUUUCCAAUUUUGGGCAGGUUCCUUGGCCAUGGGCCAGCUCUCCCCACUGCCUCUCCGUGCUACUUCCCAAUGCCCCUCAAGUGACCUUACUGAAUGCCACGGGGACCAAACCUUACCGAACAGCAAAAUCAAAGUAUGCAAAUGAAGCUUGGAUUAUUACAUAUAUAAUGAUGAAAAUGUUUUUCCUAUGCUAUUGCCUGUGCCCAGCUUCCUUCCCUACCACUCUGAGUGCUUCAGAGCUGUGUAUAGCUGUUGAGCUGAAGCACCCAAGAAUGGCUCUGAAGCAGGAAGAGAGUUCAAUCUGCAGGCUGGUUUUCCAGGCACUUUCUUUCUCAUUCUCCACAAGAUAGUUGAUAUUCCUCCGGAUUUUGCUGUUAUUAUUUGGGUGUCUCUACUUCACAGAAAAGGGCAGAUGAAUGCCUUUUGCAGCCUCUUCAGUCCACUCUAGUUCUAUUUUAGGCUGAGAAGACUGUGCUGCUUGGGUAGAUGGGUGCAUUUCAUGCCAACAGCUUAGUCUUUCUGCAAAGUUAGGCAUCUCAGUUUGAAAAAAUAAGUACUAGGUAAAGCUGUUUGAAUCAGUGCAGGAAGCUGAGUUGCUAUCAGAUGUAUAUGGCAUAAAGUACGUAUCCUGAUGGGUACUCUUCUUCAAAGGAAAAGUGGUGAUGUUUACUUGUGCAUUUUAAUGAUGAGAGGAUGCGUACUGUGACACGAAAUCCUAUCCACUGUACCAGUUCAACAGCAUUUAAACACUGAAGUCUGAGCUACGCAUAACCAAUGGGAAGGAUGUGGAAGAACGCUUGCCUGAAGACACCUACUCUUUAUUUUUAUUACAAAGUCAAUUACCAUUUCAAAGCAGCCAUGUGACAUGUAUACUGUCAGGAGCCAGAUGUUGGCAUUGUGAUAUUGUGACAUUAAUUUAAAAGAAGAGUCUUUUUUUUUUUUUUUUUUUUUAAAUGCUGACUUCCCAAGGAUUAAGUUGGAUAUUCUCAAUGUAGUUGAAAAAAGAAUUUACAUUCCCCAAACACAAACAUUCUUGUUUUCUGUUUGGUUUUAUAACUCAGUCAUUUCUCUAUUGAAGAAGCACAAAACAGAAAGAACUUUUGGUUCCAGGUAGUUUCACUUCAGCUGAUCUUUCUAAAAGCAUGCACCUUUUUAGCUGUUUCAGUUAUGAAUCAUAGAAUGGCCUGGGUUGAAAAGGACCACAAUGCUCAGCCAGUUCCAACCCCCCUGCUAUGGGCAGUUGCCAACCACCAUAUCUUCUUUAUAAAGGGAAGUUUAUUAAGUAAAAUUUGGGUUACUGAGGUUUUAGCACAUGUUGCAUUGAAUCCCUUUUUUUCCCCCCUAAAUCACGUGGUUAAACUUAGUUUGGGUCUCUUACAACCAGAAUCCCUGCUGACUCCGCUCUGGUCCAGGCAGAUUGAACUGAGUCGCAACACUGCUGGUACGCGUCCUCAUCCCCAGUGCCAAGAAAAACCCUUUCCCUCUGUGUUUUCUUGUUAGCAAUACUGCUAUGGAGGCCAAGGACUGACAGUCUUUCUCUUAAUUCUCAAAUCCUCUCCUCCAACAGGGAAAAAGGAAAAAGAUUGAAAAACCUUUUGCUAUUGUUUGGUUGUUUGAUCAUAAAGGGGAACUAGACUGCCAAGCCAGCACCCCAGCAGCCCUAAAUCUAUGUGUAAAAUAUGGGCAAAAGGAGAGAAAAGAUUUAUUGUUAUUAUUAUCAUCACAGACUACCUUUAUAAUAUAUGUGUUUCACUUAAAUUAAUAUUUUAUAACUCUAUAUCAGCCUCUGCAGCCACCCAACAGCAUUUCUUAUUUAUCCAGUCGGACAUACUAAUUUGCUUUUAUCAAAAUACUUGAGAAAUAAUUGUCUUACCUCUCCUAGGACAUGCUACAGGGUUUAUUCUCUCCUUGCUAUCUACAUAGUUAUAAAUCCUCAUGCAUUGAGAGCAGAAUAGGCUUUAUGUGUCUAGCAAUUUCUUAUGAUUUCUAGGCUAUUAUCCCCAAAUCCUAAUUAACCAUUUUUAAAAAUAAUGUGGCCUUUCUACCACGUGAGAUAUACCAACAUGAUAAGAUACGAUGUGAAAGUCCCAAGUAUAAUGUAAUUCUGCUGCUUUACUUUUCCUCUUUUAUUAGAGAUUUCUAACAUAAUACUGCAUUUUCAUCCAAAGUGACAGGAUUCAGUACAUAGUUUGUAGUAUAUGUUUUGCAAACUGCCAGAACAGAGCCAUUGAAUUUAGUUUUCUAAUAAUCGUACAGCCAUACAACACGCCCGUACAUGUCAGAAACUGAAGAAAGCAAAUUUAUACACAACAACGUGUAUUUUGUGGAUAGCGAUAACCCACCCAAAUCUAAUUUAAUCAAAUAUUUAAAGAGGUAAUAAUUAAUUUUUAAAGAAUUGAAGUGAACCGUAACUAGGAGGAAAUGUUAUUGUUUAUUUUUAAUGCCAGAACUGUAUUCCUGAUGCAUUUUUAAUAUUUCAUUAAGGUGGUAACUUUCAUGGCGUAUUUUUUCAAGUUUCAUAUCUCCCUGAUUUAUUUCUUUUCUUCUGAAGAAAGGUAAAAUGCCAUAGGGAAACUUAAAGCUUAGAAUGAUGCAGUCUUUGAGGAGCUCUUCCUAAAACUUCCUGGAGUCUUUUUAAGCAGAAUUCUUCUUAAGCCUUUCUGGACAAGCAUUCUAAAACCAGAAGUCUUUUAAACAAGCUGAGGUACAGCAUCUGCUUGUGAGCUGAGCAAAGGGUUCUUCUUUCAGUCAAUGAAUGUGUUCAUCAGGUACUACUUUCUAUUCUGUCUCCAAGCUAUUACUCAUCACUCAUCAUUCUUACUUUCCAGAAGAGAUAUCUGCAAGAAUGGUUUUAAAGCCCAUUGCCUUUCAAACCUGUGUUCUGCCCUUCCUCAGUCCUUUGUUUUUUGUUUUAUCCCUUCUUUUUGAUGGAGCGUCUCUCACGUUUUUGAGCCUUUCAUACUCAAACUGUGGAAGCCUGUUUAUUUCACUCUGGCUCCAGCCCUAGUUAAAGGUGUGAACUACCAAAGUGGAAGGGGGCACAUGCACAUUAACACUGCUGUGGAAAACGUCGCCUGACAGAUGGAUGCAUGUUAAAUGGGUGUUUGAAGAAAGGUGUUUGCAAUAAAAAUCCUGAGUAUGGCAUCAGAGGAAGACCACACACAAUUUUCUACUUUUAUUUCUGUAAUAUAUAGGGGCCAGGCUAGUUCUGGUCUGCUUUAUACUGUCACUUACUCAUAUUUGCUAUUUUAUACUAAUAAUUUGUAUAUUAAUAUUUGUGUGUGUAUUUCAAAGUCUGGCUGUUUUCAAGGGUCUGCUCUGCAGCACAAGGGUCUGAGUCAACAUAGUAUAAAUCAUUGGUUUAUUCAAUAAACAAAAUAGUGAAAGGAUAAAUUGAAUUUCUCCAGUUUCAGUCACCAGUUCUUGAUCUCUGGGGGAUACUCACCUAAUAUGUUAGUUAUGGAGCUAUGAAUAUGAUGUGCAGAUACAUCCUUGCUUGGGUUUAUCUACCUUGACCUUAUCUACCCUAAGAACUGAAGUGUUUAAAUUCUGGUUGAGAAUUGAAGCAGGUGAUUAGAACUAGAUGAUCUUUGAGGGCCCUUUCAACCCAAGCCAUUCUAUGACUCUUUGAAAGAGGAACUGUAGAUAAGUUCACUCAAUUUCUGUUCCUAAGUCCUUAGCUGUUCUCUGGAUGGAUAACAGGAUUUUUUAGGCACAGCAUUGCAUUCUCUACCAUCUUUGCUCUUUUCCCAAAAUAUUUCUGACUCAGUCAUCUCCUGCCUACACAGCGAACUUUUGCGCCCCCUGACUUAGGCUGAAUUGGUUUCUCUUUAUGUACAAACAGGACUGCUUUUUCUUUCCUGAUUUCAUAAUUGCUAUUUCUAUUGGUUUGCUUCUUUUAGUUUUCAAUUCUACUUCAACUUGACUAUGAAGAUUAUCAAGAAAUAAAGCAUGAUUCACAUCUACACAUAGUUUACGACCUUUAGAUUCAAGCCCCUUUAUAUAAACUUGCAAAUACGAAAGGAUACGUCAUAAGACCUUGUAGGCACCCAAACUGUCAGUGAAUUCAGCCUGAAACUGUUUUUUUCAGCUUUAUUGAGACCUCUUUAUAAGCUGUGCUUGUGUUAUGACAAUAGAUUGUUUACAGAUUCUUAAAAUGUCCUGAGUUGAUGGAAAAAAAAGGGCAAUUUUUUUCCUUAUAAAUACCACUUGACUUUGAGGAGUGUUUGAAGCUACACAACCAGAAUAGGAACAUUCACACCCGCUGUACGAGUGGCUCAAAAACCCUGUCAUUUCUCUCAGGCCCAGCUCCAGCAAGCACUUACACACAUGCUUAACUUUAUGCACACGAGUAAUCCCAUUGAUUUAAUGGGAUUAUUCCCCUAUGCACAGUUACGCAAACAUAAGUGUUUGCAGGACUGGGGUCUAUUUCUCUUGCAAUGAUUUGAAACCUGUGGAAGAAAACGCUAUAUGCAAGUUAGAUAUUAUUUAAUGGCCACAUAUUAAGCCUGAAUAUUUCUGCUGAAAUUGGUGAGGCUGUGCGAGUUUCUUUCUGGCUGAGAAACUGUCCUCUUCUGUGCGCAGUGUACACUCUUAGCUUGCUAUGGUGCACUGUGGCUAUCACAGCAUAGAAAGGCAUAUGGGAACUGUUGAGUCACAGCCUGAACCACUGACUGAGCACCUGGGGAAAGGACCUGGUCAGCCCUGGGAGCACAGGUGAAGACAAUUCACCUGUAUGACUGGAAGGGGUGCAGCCUGGCUCCACCUCUCUUAGAUCUCAUUUAAGGGCUGACUGCCACUGGAGAAGGAUCUCCUUCUGGAGAUCCCUCCUUGAUGGAGCUUUCCUUUGUGAACCUGGAAUCAUCUGAUACAGGUGAGCAAUCUUCUUCCCUUCUGUUAUAGCACCUGUCUAUCAUGCUUAUCCUUCAUCAUUAUACGUCUAGUGAAACACCUUUUCCCAUCAUAUUGAUCUGUCCAUUUACUACAAAAACAAAAUGGAGAGAUAAUCAGUAGUAGAAGUACUAAAAGAGAAAAUUCUCCAUGUCCAGAGGUUACUGUAUUUCAAAGCAUUGAUUUAUAACUUGACAAUGACAUUUACAAAACGUUCCUCUAUGUCCAGGAUAUCCUUCUCAUUAAUGCAAUAACAUAAUAACUCAUAAAUAUUUCAUAUAUGUAGAAAAGGCUUACUUUAUAUAUACAUAUGUGUAAAUAAAGAAAUCUAUACACAUAGAGAUGUAUAGUAGAAAAGUACUUCCAAGCAUCAAAAAAACUAUGCAUAAAAUUGUAUGCUCGCAUGCACAGGAUGAUCAUUGUUAUGAAAAUAACUUUGGUAAAAAUAACUGAACUUGAAGUUGCCUCUGACUUGGAUAGUUCACUUUUGAUUUGAAAUUCUGCAGCCAAGAUAAUUUUUAAAAAUUUAGGGCUAGUAACCAUCUGCCAUAAAUGAUAGAAAUUAAAUAUAAAUAAAAUAGUACUUCUACUACCAGUGAUGGGAAUCACAAGCCAAAUGUAUCCAUGGUCUAGGCAGCAGGAACACUUGUAGAACGAAAGCAGCUAAAGGAGCUGUUUUGGCCCAGACAUGUUUUGAUGUGUAGUGUAUCCUGUUGGCUGAACAACAGCAUUAUUAAGCAAUUUGGGCUGGAGCAUCACUGGGCUCUGUGAAGAAUUUGAAGAUCUUGAGCGUGUUGCAAGAAGAAUCAUGCUGUGUCAUUCAGUAAAAAUAUAAUCAGUCUUAUGCCACUGGCACAUUCAAACACCUAGUGGGAUAUGCUGGGCAUCAGUGUUCAAGGUUCUAUGUAAGGUAACAGCUGCUUUGGUCAGGCAGUUAAUUAAAUGUGUUAAUUUUCCAUACAACCAACAGUAGUGACAACAGAUCAAAGUGGAAUUUUAUGACAUUUCAGGGUUCCCUUAUGUGAUCACAAUGGUGGAUGGCACCCACGCUAUCUUUCACAUCCCUUCACUGUAUGAUGCUGCCUUUCCCUUCUGGAAAGCUUCAGUCUUUGACUCUGCAAAUACUCCAAUGGUAAUACUUUGGUACUACUUGCUGGAUAUUGCCAGUUGUCCCAACUCCAAUCUUGAAAAGCUGCUUGGGCUUAUUCCCAUACUGAUGUUGGUUUAGUCUGAAGAUGAAGCAAUUCAUUUGCAAAGCUAUUUUUAAUUUUCUCCCUCCUGUCUUACAUUUCUUAUGAGAAAUAUUCAAUGAGCAGAUAUGUAGUGUGGAAAUAAACUAGUAUGGUAUUUUUGAAUAGAUACUGUAUUCUUCAGAUGUAGAAUUACAGAAAAUUAUUUCCUUUUCCUUGAUAGUUCCGUUUGCUGCAUUGCGAGAUGACAAAUUCAACCUUUUCCAUAACAUUGCUACUUUCAUAACACAGUAAUAACUCAAAGGCAUCGGGAAAGAUAAGGUAAAUGGAGAUGAUUCAUGGAAACGACUAUGAAAGCUUUUUAGAAAUAAUGGACUGACAAAUAUGAACAAUAUUUGAAUAAUAUAAAUGAACUAGACAAGUUUCUUCCCCACCAAAUGGAUAUAACACUGUGAAGAAAUGUGGAAGAAAUGUAAAACAACAAGUUAAGAGUAUAAGGACUGACCGAAAAUGAGUCACACUCCCACGCUUUUGGCUCACAAUUUGAAAUACUUGUUUUUACUUGAUUGGGUAGCCACUAAAAGUAUAUAGUAAGAUUUGUUUGAAUUUGAUCUGUCACUUUUUUUGAUGGGUGACAAUGAUUUUAUGACAUAUGCCACAUAGUGUCACAUCAUUCAAAACACAUUAAGUCACGCUCUAUCCCGUCAUUUCUGAAGGCAAUAAUGCUAUUCAAUGUGACGUGACAUGAGGAGAUGUAACACAACUCAACAGCUGAAAAAAUAAAAGGAAAGUUUUGUAGGUGUGACGUGGGUUCCUGAAAUUACAUUGUAAUGAAUCUUAGGAGGAAGAUCCCAGGAGCUAAGUUUGUAAAGUAGAUCCAUUGCUUGACUUGUGUCUUUAGGAUGAUGAGCUCUGGGUUACCGUGCACAGAGGGGCAGUGGGUGGAUGCUACAGUCAUGACAGCAGUCUCACUGGGCUCAGAGGCACAAACUAGCUCUUCAGGAACUACUUGCUGGAGGUUCUUAUGCCUGAAAAGAGACAAGACUGGAACUCUCUAUGGCUUGAAACACCUCUGAGUGUUUUAGAGCAUUUAAAAUUACUGCAGCCUUGAGGAUGUCCUAGGCAGAACCCAUUACAAGCUAGAUAUUUGCUGGUUCUAGUCCUCUAACAGCUCCUUAUGGUUGUUUACAUGGAUGGAUAGUAACAGGAAAAGAGGGAAUGGUCUUAAACUGAGACAGGGGAGGUUUAGGUUGGACAUUAGCAGGAAGUUUUUCACACAGAGGUUGGUGAUGCACUGGAACAGGUUGCUCAAGGAGGCUGUGGAUGCCCCAUUCCUGGAGGCAUUCAAGGCCAGGCUGGAUGUGGCUCUGGGCAGCCUGGUGUGGUGGCUGGCAACCCUGCACAUAGUAGGGGAUUUGAAACUAGAUGAUCAUUGUGGUCCUUUUCAGCCCUGGCCAUUCUAUGAUUCUAAUAAAAUUAAAAUUAAGGUAUUUCCAGUCUAUAUGAGCUCUGCUCUUGUUUCUUAAACACUAUGUACUGUCCUGCCUUGGGACCAUCAGGAGCAGAGUGUCUGUGUUUUAUAUAGUAUCGUGACGCUAGUUAUUAUUUCUGACUGCAAUGAAGCUAUGUCUACUUAUACACGCAAACAGCCUUUGGCUAGAUUAACAGGAAGUUCUCUCUUCCUACACCAAAAGUAGAACCUCACCACAAAAUGUGAAGUUGCCUGGUCAACUCUGCAAGAUCUCAAAUUCUACAGCUACUCAGGUUGCACCAUUGAUGUUUUCCAGGUUGGUAUAACUUAGCCAUGCACACAAAUAUGGUAUGCUUGCUAGUAUUACACAGCUCCAAAUCUACGCCUUCAUGAAUACAGUCUAGUUGCACAUUAUGUUUUUAUCACCUUUUUGUUGAUGGAGCCUAUGAAUACAGAUUCUCUAAGAUCUUUGGAUACUGUCAGAGUUGGAAGCUCAAGAUCACCCAACCUGAAAUGCUUCCUUAGCUGCCCACCUGGAAUCACUGACCUGAGUUGUCAUCUCCCAAUUCCUAAUAAAAUUCCUGGGAAGGUACUACAUGGCUGUUUUCUACUUUCUUGAAUCUGAUUUUGUUAUAUUCCUUUAAAACUGUCAUUGGAAUUUUUCCUCCUUCUGCAUCCUAACUACAUAAUAACACAGUCCUUAAACCCAGUGUAUAUGAUACAGCUUCAGUAAGAGAAUCAGAAUAGCUGAUCACUGGGGAAAUAGGGCUCUUAUCCAUGUGAGAAGGGGUUACGAAGGCCCUUGGACUUCAGCCUCCAACUCUUAGAUGUACAGCUAACCACUGAACAUUGUGAAUGGGGCACACAGUGCCAGUGAGACCUGACAUGAUGGCCAAAAAGCUGCUCACAGCUCUGAAUACAAACAGAAAUGUGGGCCCAACUUUCUGCAAUAAUUCACCACCCUAUUUUCACAAUUUCUUAUUAACUUCCCUCUUUUUGGAGCUGCUGCUGUUCUCUAGGCCCGAUUUUUCCCUGCUGAUUGUCUUAGAAGAAAUCGUUGAUGUCUGGAGUUUCCAUCAUGUUCUAGGGCAGCUGAGAACUGAUCUGAGUAACGUCCAUUCACCUCUUUCUUUUGUGACCUUUUCCAAAAAAAAAAUAAACAAUCCUCUGCAGUUCUGUAACUAUCUUUUAAGAUGUUAAUUACUUGCAGGCUGAGUAUCUUGAAGUUCUUCCACCUUUGCUACCAAAGAGUAACUUGUGUAAAUUCUCGCUUUGUUGUCACACCUGUUACAGGAAAUCACUGUUACAACUUAAGUGUGAAAAAAUGUGACUGAACUAUACGUAGUAAGAAAAGUACACACACCAAUCUCAAUGUAAGUGCAUCACUGCUGCUAUAAAACAGACAAAACUACUUUGGUGACAUUCGCUGUUACUGUACGUUGACAAGUUCCCAUUUAAUUUACUACAUAUGGUUCUACGUCUCCAUAGCUACUCUCGUGAAUUCAUUAUUCAUUAAAUAAGUGAUGAAUUUACUCAAAUAUUGCAGCCACAUGGCCGACACAAAUGCAUUCUAAUAUUAUUAACACGUUGCCAACUUGCAACUCUUCGAAGUCUGAGUAAAUGUUUUGACAAGAAGAGGCAGCAAGAACAAAUAAGUAGUAGCAGUCUAGAUGAAGUUCAGCCAUAGUUCUAACAGCUUUAAAGUCUUAACAGUGUUUUCACUGGGGCAGUACCAGAUAAAUUGCUCUUAUGUGUGCAUACAAGAGACUAAAAUUCCUUUGAAAGUUUAUAAUUUCUCAUGGGAAAACACAACAUAAAAGUUACUUUUACUCAUAGAAAAACAACACCAUAUUUUCCUGUCAACCUUUGCUGUUGGGAAUUUCAAACUUUUUGCAUUUUUUCCCUGUGAUUCUUUGUCGACCCAAGGGACAGGCGUUUACAACAUAAUUUACUUUCAGCAUGUCUCUGUAAAUCAUUGUAAUACUUUCUAUGGCUAGAAAGAAAAAAAAAACGCUCUCAAGUUGGACUGACAAAGUACUUUUCUGAGCCUCCAACAGCCAACUAAAAACACCUCUGUUUCAGAAAUGUGGAGAGAUACACAAAAGAAAAGUUUUAUGAGGGCUUUGCGUGAAUGUUUGUAUUCAGAGGUUGUAGCAUUUAUUAGGAAAUAUUUAUUGAACUGCAUUUACUUGCAGUAAAAUAUAUGGAAUGCUUAGUGUGUUGGUGGUACAAAUUAAAAUCACCAGCAUCCCAUGUUUGGAGGAAGGCCGUUAUUUUUUCCUUGCUGUUAUUGAGGCCUGUUGUUGUCACUGUUGUUGUACGGGCUUAGCAGAGCUGUCUCGGAUUAGGUGAUUUAAGCAUGGCCUCCCAUAAAAAAAGCUGGAAACCUGUAGAGCCUUUCAGCCUCACUUUUUGAGGCUGCUGCUAAUAUCAAGGCUCAUUCAGUUUUACAUUAGAACUUGAUGACUUGCACAUUGGUUGAACCUUCACCUUUUACAACCUUAAUGGGGAUUUAUUAGCUAUUUCACAGUGUGUAAAUUUGAAUCUAGGUCAGAUGAGGAAGAAAAAUAGGGCAAAUCUGGGCCUUAAGUAUAACCUGCAUAUAAUAUAUCAGGAUAAAAAAAAAAGGUGCAAAAUUAAACAGAUGAUUAAAAGUGUCUAGAGCAGUCAGAGUUUGAAAAAAGAGCUUGAUAAAUUAGGGGUGUUAGCGGGCUGCUUUUUUUUUUUUUUCUGAGUUCAAACUCAGGUGACUGGUGAAAGUCUGGUUUCCACACAAAUUCAGCAGAUUAAGGAGUUAAAAUAGCUUGUUAACCUGUUUCUGCUAACUGCUCGCAAGAGGAAAUGUAACACAGGUGUGUUUGAUAUUCGCAAGAUUAAAGCUUUUGUCUACCAUCAAAUGUUCACCACAUUAAAGCUUUUUUAAUGAGGUAUUGGAAGAUAAUGAAUGUAAGCCUCUAAUUCACUGCAGAAGAGACAGCUUGCCCCUGCUCUGACCUCACUGCAGCCAGGUAUCUACAACAUAUUAGUCACACACAGACCCAAAGCCAAAAUAGCCACUCUGCUAAAAGCAGAAGUGUUUCGGGUGCUAGAACUUUUCUGCUCAGCAUCCUGGAAAUUUAAAGUCAGGUAUUCCUAGAGUGAGGGUACCCAUCCCUUACUACAGGAGGGCUGCCUGGAUGAGGAAAAAAAGCAGCAGGCACAAGGAGGGGUUUUUACAGUGCCUGUGGAUGGGGGAGUGAGUAAGGGGAAAAAAACGGGUGUGAAUUAAUGCUUACUGCUCAAUUAUCAUUCAUCUUAACACUUAGAGAUGCUUAGAUAGUCAAUAGCUGGAGCAAGGAAGCGCUGGG
This is a long non-coding RNA of Gallus gallus (chicken), 33358 nucleotides long. The record is from Ensembl. NCBI's taxonomy places the organism in Eukaryota, Metazoa, Chordata, Aves, Galliformes, Phasianidae.